UGGCCAUAUAUCAUUGAAACAUCAGUUCCCAUAUGAUCACUGAAGUUAAGCAACAUCAAACCUGGUCAAUACCUAGAUGGGUGACUACUGAGGAAUACCAGGUGUUGUAAG
Acanthosepion pharaonis is the source of this 111-nucleotide non-coding RNA. NCBI's taxonomy places the organism in Eukaryota, Metazoa, Mollusca, Cephalopoda, Sepiida, Sepiidae. The record is from the annotation of a GenBank genome assembly.